Molecule: transfer RNA, 81 nt
Filed under: Felis catus (domestic cat)
Lineage: Eukaryota; Metazoa; Chordata; Mammalia; Carnivora; Felidae
Rfam family: tRNA
About the family: Transfer RNA (tRNA) molecules are approximately 80 nucleotides in length.
Source: Rfam by way of RNAcentral
GCCUGGGUGGUUCAGUCGGUUAAGCGUCUGACUUUGGCUCAGGUCAUGAUCUCACUGUGGGUUUGAGCCCCACGUCGGGCU